RNAcentral lists this ribosomal RNA (279 nucleotides) under Eubacterium coprostanoligenes. Its description in RNAcentral is "partial 16S ribosomal RNA". It matches the Rfam family "Bacterial small subunit ribosomal RNA", at positions 498 to 776 of the family's 1533-position model. The record is from RNAcentral. Lineage: Bacteria; Bacillati; Bacillota; Clostridia; Eubacteriales; Eubacteriaceae.
UAUGGUUGUGCCAGCCGCCGCGGUAAUACGUAGGUGGCAAGCGUUGUCCGGAAUUACUGGGUGUAAAGGGAGCGCAGGCGGGUGAUCAAGUCAGCUGUGAAAACUACGGGCUUAACCCGUAGACUGCAGUUGAAACUGUUCAUCUUGAGUGAAGUAGAGGUUGGCGGAAUUCCGAGUGUAGCGGUGAAAUGCGUAGAUAUUCGGAGGAACACCGGUGGCGAAGGCGGCCAACUGGGCUUUAACUGACGCUGAGGCUCGAAAGUGUGGGGAGCAAACAGG